This 253-nucleotide ribosomal RNA is filed under the name uncultured bacterium. RNAcentral's name for it is "partial 16S ribosomal RNA". It matches the Rfam family "Bacterial small subunit ribosomal RNA", at positions 524 to 776 of the family's 1533-position model. The record is from RNAcentral.
UACGUAGGGGGCUAGCGUUGUCCGGAAUCAUUGGGCGUAAAGAGCGUGUAGGCGGUCCGGUAAGUCCGCUGUGAAAGUCGGGGGCUCAACCCUCGAAUGCCGGUGGAUACUGUCGGGCUAGAGUCCGGAAGAGGCGAGUGGAAUUCCCGGUGUAGCGGUGAAAUGCGCAGAUAUCGGGAGGAACACCAAUGGCGAAGGCAGCUCGCUGGGACGGUACUGACGCUGAGACGCGAAAGCGUGGGGAGCAAACAGG